This 804-nucleotide ribosomal RNA is filed under the name uncultured bacterium. Its description in RNAcentral is "bacterial SSU rRNA". It matches the Rfam family "Bacterial small subunit ribosomal RNA", at positions 44 to 892 of the family's 1533-position model. The record is from RNAcentral.
ANCGCNGCUACCAUGCAGUCGAACGGUCCUUCGGGAUAGUGGCGGACGGGUGAGUAACACGUGGGAGCGUACCCUUAGGUUCGGAACAACACAGGGAAACUUGUGCUAAUACCGGAUGAGCCCUUCGGGGGAAAGAUUUAUCGCCUUUGGAGCGGCCCGCGUCUGAUUAGCUAGUUGGUGAGGUAAUGGCUCACCAAGGCGACGAUCAGUAGCUGGUCUGAGAGGAUGGCCAGCCACACUGGGACUGAGACACGGCCCAGACUCCUACGGGAGGCAGCAGUGGGGAAUCUUGCGCAAUGGGCGAAAGCCUGACGCAGCCAUGCCGCGUGGAUGAUGAAGGUCUUAGGAUUGUAAAAUCCUUUCACCGGGGACGAUAAUGACGGUACCCGGAGAAGAAGCCCCGGCUAACUUCGUGCCAGCAGCCGCGGUAAUACGAAGGGGGCUAGCGUUGCUCGGAAUUACUGGGCGUAAAGGGCGCGUAGGCGGACAGUUAAGUUGGGGGUGAAAGCCCGGGGCUCAACCUCGGAAUUGCCUUCAAUACUGGCUGUCUUGAGUACGGGAGAGGUGAGUGGAACUCCGAGUGUAGAGGUGAAAUUCGUAGAUAUUCGGAAGAACCACCCAGUGGCGAAGGCGGCUCCACUGGCCCGUUANCURACGCUGAGGCGCGAAAGCAGUGGGGAGCAAACAGGAUUAGAUACCCUGGUAGUCCACGCCGUAAACGAUGAGUGCUAGUUGUCGGCAUGCAUGCAUGUCGGUGACGCANCUAACGCAUUAAGCACUCCGCCUGGGGAGUACNGUCGCAAG